AGAGUUUGAUCAUGGCUCAGAACGAACGCUGGCGGCACGCCUAACACAUGCAAGUCGAGCGCCCAGCAAUGGGAGCGGCGGACGGGUGAGUAACACGUGGGAACAUGCCUUUCGGUACGGAACAACUCAGGGAAACUUGAGCUAAUGCCGUAUACGCCCUUACGGGGAAAGAUUUAUCGCCGAUUGAUUGGCCCGCGUCUGAUUAGCUAGUUGGUGAGGUAAUGGCUCACCAAGGCUUCGAUCAGUAGCUGGUUUGAGAGAACGACCAGCCACAUUGGGACUGAGACACGGCCCAAACUCCUACGGGAGGCAGCAGUGGGGAAUCUUGGACAAUGGGGGAAACCCUGAUCCAGCGAUGCCGCGUGAGUGAUGAAGGCCUUCGGGUUGUAAAACUCUUUCGACGGGGACGAUAAUGACGGUACCCGUAGAAGAAGCUCCGGCUAACUUCGUGCCAGCAGCCGCGGUAAUACGAAGGGGGCUAGCGUUGUUCGGAAUUACUGGGCGUAAAGCGCGCGCAGGCGGCCAAUCAAGUCAGGGGUGAAAGCCCAGAGCUCAACUCUGGAACUGCCCUUGAAACUGUUUGGCUUGAGUACGGGAGAGGUGAGUGGAAUUCCCAGUGUAGAGGUGAAAUUCGUAGAUAUUGGGAAGAACACCGGUGGCGAAGGCGGCUCACUGGCCCGUUUCUGACGCUCAGGCGCGACAGCGUGGGGAUCAAACAGGAUUAGAUACCCCGGUAGUCC
Molecule: ribosomal RNA, 740 nt
Filed under: uncultured bacterium
Lineage: Bacteria
Description: bacterial SSU rRNA
Rfam family: Bacterial small subunit ribosomal RNA
Source: RNAcentral